RNAcentral lists this transfer RNA (72 nucleotides) under Camelus bactrianus (Bactrian camel). It matches the Rfam family "tRNA". Rfam says of the family: Transfer RNA (tRNA) molecules are approximately 80 nucleotides in length. Lineage: Eukaryota; Metazoa; Chordata; Mammalia; Artiodactyla; Camelidae. The record is from Rfam by way of RNAcentral. RNAcentral also lists the same sequence under 2 other names.
GAUGGCAUAGCUCAGUGGUAGAGCACAUGCUUAGCAUGCAUGAGGUACUGGGUUCAAUCUCUAAUCCCUCCA